Molecule: small nuclear RNA, 109 nt
Filed under: Pan troglodytes (chimpanzee)
Lineage: Eukaryota; Metazoa; Chordata; Mammalia; Primates; Hominidae
Source: RNAcentral
GUGCUCGGUACAGCAGCACAUAUACAAAAAAAAAAAUUGGAAUCAUACAGAGAUUAGCAUGGCGCUGCGCAAGGAUAACACGCAAAUUCAUGAAGUAUGCCAUUAUUUU